This is a long non-coding RNA of Patella vulgata (common limpet), 323 nucleotides long. RefSeq lists it as uncharacterized. Lineage: Eukaryota; Metazoa; Mollusca; Gastropoda; Patellidae. The record is from RefSeq and is a predicted model, not a curated record. The transcript has 4 exons.
UGGCGUGUUAAAUAUUGAAUAUCACCUUCUGAUCUAAUAUAAAUAUUGUGCAAUGGUGGUAGACAUCUGUAGGAAGAUAGCGAGAAAUACAUUUAGAAAGGGGCAUUGAUCUUGGUUGAAUACAACACAAAGGAAAGAUUUUAGACAUGUCCCUACUUGUUGUACCUCCUUUCAAAAUAUAUUCAAGCACACCAUCUCCCCGGAGGACACAGAAAGAAAAUUUUAAUCCUUUUUAGUCCCGAGGGUAUGUCACAAGACAAAGACAACGUCAGAAAGCAUUAAAUUUAAAAUAGAAUACAAUAAAACAACAGUUAUUAUUUUAA